This 82-nucleotide ribosomal RNA is filed under the name Bacteroidales bacterium. RNAcentral's name for it is "partial 16S ribosomal RNA". It matches the Rfam family "Bacterial small subunit ribosomal RNA", at positions 1 to 78 of the family's 1533-position model. Lineage: Bacteria; Pseudomonadati; Bacteroidota; Bacteroidia; Bacteroidales. The record is from RNAcentral.
UAUAACAGCGGAGAGUUUGAUCCUGGCUCAGGAUGAACGCUAGCGGCAGGCUUAACACAUGCAAGUCGAAGGGCAGCGGGGG